Molecule: ribosomal RNA, 253 nt
Filed under: uncultured bacterium
Lineage: Bacteria
Description: partial 16S ribosomal RNA
Rfam family: Bacterial small subunit ribosomal RNA
Source: RNAcentral
UACGGAGGGAGCUAGCGUUGUUCGGAAUUACUGGGCGUACAGCGCACGUCGGCGGCUUUGUAAGUUAGAGGUGAAAGCCCGGGGCUCAACUCCGGAACUGCCUUUAAGACUGCAUCGCUUGAAUCCAGGAGAGGUGAGUGGAAUUCCGAGUGUAGAGGUGAAAUUCGUAGAUAUUCGGAAGAACACCAGUGGCGAAGGCGGCUCACUGGACUGGUAUUGACGCUGAGGUGCGAAAGCGUGGGGAGCAAACAGG